AAUUUGGCACACCCAAUUCCACACCCUUCAAAACUCCUAAAAUCUUUCCCCAUAGCACUCCUAAAGAUCAUUCAACUUUAUCCCACCUAACCACAUCCCUACCAACCGAAAUUCCCUCCAGCAAGCUCCCAGAAUUCGGCCACCACUCCCCACUCCUCAAACACCCCAAUUUUAGUGCAACUACAACACCUCCUCAGCGUCAGUAGCAAAAUAAAAUACCCUUUUGUGCCGCCAAGCCUCGAACCUAAGCUCCCCUGGAACACUACACAUGCC
RNAcentral lists this long non-coding RNA (273 nucleotides) under Gossypium barbadense (sea-island cotton). RNAcentral's name for it is "long non-coding RNA (GBAR_LNC002616)". Lineage: Eukaryota; Viridiplantae; Streptophyta; Magnoliopsida; Malvales; Malvaceae. The record is from RNAcentral.